AUGCCGUCGCGCACCAAGCACAUGGAGGAGAUCUCAGAAGAACUAGAUGUUCUUUGCGCCGAAGUCACGGCGAUGACGCACAAGCAAGGUCAGAUCCAAGAUCAAGUGGAAGAAAUCAACUCCCGCCUGUCCAAGGUAGGAGCCUUGGAAGCCCAGAUCGGCAAGGUGGAAACACUGGUCGAGAAUAAUUCCAAGAUUCAGACCGAGAUUUUUGCUCUCCUGAGAGAAAUGCAAGGUGAAAAUACCCGCCCUCCCAACCCUGAUUCACCUUCGUCGUCACGCAACACAGCAGUGCAACAAGACUCUGCUCCCAGUCAACAGCUCACAGUGCAAGAUCUGCAAAAACAAAUGGAAGUACUUGUACAAACACAUCUGAAACAAGCGGAGCAACAACCAAAAACAGCAGAAACUCAUCUGACCACAAGUGAGCAGCACAGAUCUGAACGUGCAACUCAGUUUCUCAAAAACAUCUCCAAAGGCCCUAAGAUUGAUUUCCCAUGUUUCAAUGGUGACAAUCCUCUGGGCUGGAUCAGACAAGUAAAUAAGUAUUUCCAACUGGCUCAAGUUCCUGACGAAUGCAAGGCAGACUUAUCCCUCACCUAUUUCAUUGGGCGAGCUGAUAACUGGGUCAGAGGUGCACAGUUAGAGAAUUAUGCUAUACCCUGGAAAGAUUUCUGCAGGUUGUUAUGUGAUCGCUUUGCAGAUUCUAGUAUCUAUGAGAUAUUAGAAAAAUUCCACAAUGUCAAGCAAGGAACAUUGACAGUGGCAGCUUACAUUGAUAAGUUUGAAGAGAUCAUGGGUGUGGUUAGAGAUGAGCACCCCUACCUGCAAGAGCACUACUAUCUUGUGAGUUUCAUCAAUGGACUGAAACCAACGACCAGAUGUAACCUAAGACCACAGAGACCCAAACUCCUCACCCAAGCUUACUAG
Molecule: ribosomal RNA, 930 nt
Filed under: Triticum aestivum (bread wheat)
Lineage: Eukaryota; Viridiplantae; Streptophyta; Magnoliopsida; Poales; Poaceae
Description: partial small subunit ribosomal RNA
Source: RNAcentral